GGAGUUGUGGCUCAGUGGUAGAGCGCUCACCUCGCACAUGGGAGACCCUGGGUUUGAUCCUCAGUACCA
RNAcentral lists this transfer RNA (69 nucleotides) under Marmota monax (woodchuck). It matches the Rfam family "tRNA". Rfam says of the family: Transfer RNA (tRNA) molecules are approximately 80 nucleotides in length. Their secondary structure includes four short double-helical elements and three loops (D, anti-codon, and T loops). Lineage: Eukaryota; Metazoa; Chordata; Mammalia; Rodentia; Sciuridae. The record is from Rfam by way of RNAcentral.